RNAcentral lists this ribosomal RNA (610 nucleotides) under Hydraena castanescens. RNAcentral's name for it is "partial 16S ribosomal RNA". It matches the Rfam family "Bacterial large subunit ribosomal RNA", at positions 1830 to 2725 of the family's 2925-position model. The record is from RNAcentral. Lineage: Eukaryota; Metazoa; Arthropoda; Insecta; Coleoptera; Hydraenidae.
GUCCUUUUGAUUAUAAUUUAAGGUCUAACCUGCCCACUGAAAUUUUAAAGGCCGCAGUAUUUUGACUGUGCAAAGGUAGCAUAAUAAUUAGUUUUUUAAUUGAAAGCUUGUAUGAAUGGUUGAACGAGAGAUUGACUGUCUCAAUUUAUAAUUUAGAAUUUUAUUUUUAAGUUAAAAAGCUUAAAUUUUUUUAAAAGACGAGAAGACCCUAUAGAGUUUUAUAUUAAAAUUGGUUUAAUUUUUAGAAUUUUGAAUAUUAUUUUUAAUAUUUUGUUGGGGUGAUAUAUAAAUUUAAGUAACUUUAUAUUAUAAAAAUCAUUAAUUUAUGAAUAAAUGAUCCAUAAUUUAUGAUUAAAAGAAAUAAUUACCUUAGGGAUAACAGCGUAAUUUUUUUUUAGAGUUCUUAUCGAAAAAAAAGUUUGCGACCUCGAUGUUGGAUUAAAAUUUAUUUAUGGUGUAGAAGCUAUAAAAUUAGGUCUGUUCGACCUUUGAAAUUUUACAUGAUCUGAGUUUAAACCGGCGUGAGCCAGGUUGGUUUCUAUCUUUAAAUAAUUUAAAUAUUUUAGUACGAAAGGACCAGAUAUUUUUAAUAUUUAAUUAAUUUUGAAUU